CAGACAAGUACGCAGUUGCUAGUCACAACUUUCGCCUCCAAGCCAAGAAAUUAUCCAGAAACUUUAGCCUACAGAUACUUGCCUUUGACUUUCUCAGCUGAGACGAGCGAAGACGAGAGAUAGAUAGUGCGACUGGCAAACGGAUGGAACUAGAAGAUACCAUCCUCAGUGAGGUAAUCCAGUCAGAAAAAGACAAACAUGAGCCUUCAUCCAGUAGCUGAUGGAAGCAGAAGCAGACACCCACAGCUAAACACUGAACUGAACUGGAAUCCAGUUGCAGAGAGGGAGGAGUGAUGAGCAAAGUGGUCAAGACCAAACUGGAGAAACCCACAGAAACAGCUGACCUGAACAAGGGGUUGCUCAUGGACCCCAGACUGAUAGCUGAGAAACCAGAAUAGGACUGUUCCAGACCCCUUGAACAUGAGUGUCAGUGAGGAGGCCUUGGAAAUCUAUGGGGCCUCUUGUAGUAUAUCAGUAUGUAUUCCUAGCAUACAAAUGGACUUUGGGAGCCCAAUCCACAUAGAGGGAUAUUCUCUCAGCCUAGACACACGGGAGAGAGCCUAGGCCCUGCUCCAAAUGAUAUGACAGAGUCUUAAGAUCCCCCAUGGAAGGCCUCACCCUCCCUGGGGAGCAGAAAGAGGAUGGGAUAGGGAGUUUGUGGGAGGCAGAGGAGGUGGGGAGGUAGAGGGAACUGGGAUUGACAUGUAAAACAAUCUUGUUUCUAAUUUAAAUAAAAA
This 737-nucleotide long non-coding RNA is filed under the name Cricetulus griseus (Chinese hamster). RNAcentral describes it as "lncRNA (ENSCGRG00015034285.1)". The record is from RNAcentral. Lineage: Eukaryota; Metazoa; Chordata; Mammalia; Rodentia; Cricetidae.